This 332-nucleotide long non-coding RNA is filed under the name Ursus maritimus (polar bear). RNAcentral's name for it is "lncRNA (ENSUMAG00000021671.1)". The record is from RNAcentral. Lineage: Eukaryota; Metazoa; Chordata; Mammalia; Carnivora; Ursidae.
UGAGGCAGCUUGGUUGGUCUCCGACUUUUCGCUGGUAGCCGAGGUUGUAAGCGUCCGGGAAGAUGCUGCAGAUUCCUUUGCAAAGUUAUUUGAGAGGCCCAGGAGACCCAUGAUGUAAUCUUCAGAAAAGAACAGAAGAAAAUGUCUGAGAGAAACACAGAGAGAAAGAACCAGUCCAGGACCUGCCUGUGGAAACAGCUAGGGAAAUAGGUCUCCCAAAUCACCAUCGAUGUGCAAAAAGGACAGUGCAAAAGAUGGAAUACUGGAUUUAUAUAAGGAGAAGGCCAAAUACCGUUCUUGAGAGGAUGAGAGUCCAAGCAGUUGUACUUAUU